This 492-nucleotide ribosomal RNA is filed under the name uncultured bacterium. RNAcentral describes it as "bacterial SSU rRNA". It matches the Rfam family "Bacterial small subunit ribosomal RNA", at positions 28 to 507 of the family's 1533-position model. The record is from RNAcentral.
GAUGAACGCUAGCUACAGGCUUAACACAUGCAAGUCGAGGGGAAACGAUAUUGGAAGCUUGCUUCCGAUAGGCGUCGACCGGCGCACGGGUGAGUAACGCGUAUCCAACCUUCCCAUGUCCACGGGAUAGCCCGUCGAAAGGCGGAUUAAUACCGUAUGAGGUCACAUGCGGGCAUCUAAUUGUGACGAAAGGUUUGGCGGACAUGGAUGGGGAUGCGUCCGAUUAGCUAGUUGGCGGGGUAACGGCCCACCUAGCCGACGAUGGGUAGGGGUUCUGAGAGGAAGGUCCCCCACAUUGGAACUGAGACACGGUCCAAACUCCUACGGGAGGCAGCAGUGAGGAAUAUUGGUCAAUGGGCGGAAGCCUGAACCAGCCAAGUAGCGUGCAGGACGACGGCCCUAUGGGUUGUAAACUGCUUUUAUGCGGGGAUAAAGUGGGCCACGCGUGGCCUUUUGCAGGUACCGCAUGAAUAAGGACCGGCUAAUUCCGUG